GCUUUUCGCUGGUUCAAUUGUCUCUUGAUACGCGAGAUCCCUUUCCAUCUUGUUACCCGAUUAUGGGAUACAUAUCUUGCCGAAGGUGAUGCACUGCCAGAUUUUCUUGUGUAUAUAGCUGCAAGCUUUCUGCUCACAUGGUCAGAUAAUCUGCUGAAGCUGGACUUCCAAGAGAUGGUUAUGUUCCUUCAGCACCUUCCCACACAUAACUGGAGUCAUUCAG
This 223-nucleotide unclassified non-coding RNA is filed under the name Hevea brasiliensis (rubber tree). Lineage: Eukaryota; Viridiplantae; Streptophyta; Magnoliopsida; Malpighiales; Euphorbiaceae. The record is from RNAcentral.